This 454-nucleotide ribosomal RNA is filed under the name Parogovia sp. DNA105671. RNAcentral describes it as "partial 16S ribosomal RNA". The stretch from base 193 to 454 matches the Rfam family "Bacterial large subunit ribosomal RNA", at positions 2078 to 2600 of the family's 2925-position model. Lineage: Eukaryota; Metazoa; Arthropoda; Arachnida; Opiliones; Neogoveidae. The record is from RNAcentral.
UUCUUUUAGAUUAUAUUAAAAGUAUAUUCUGCUCAGUGCAUUAUGUAAAUAGCUGCAGGCGACUGUACUAAGGUAGCGUAAUCAUUAGUUUUUUAAUUGGAAUCAUGGAUGAAUGAAAGAAUGAUGUUAAUAUUUAUUUUUUGUGGGAUGUUGAAUUUAAUUUUUAGGUUAAAAAGCCUUAAUGUAUUUUAGGGACGAGAAGACCCUGAGAAGCUUGACUUUGUCUAUUUUAUGGUAUGUAGAAUUGAGUUUGGCUGGGGAAGUUAGCUUGGUGUAUUGAAGUUAUUGAGCCUUUUAUAAGGAAUGUUAGUGAAAGUUACUCCAGGGAUAACAGCGUAAUAAAAUUAUUUUAGUUCUUAUGGAAUAAUUUGUUUGCGACCUCGAUGUUGGAUUAAAAGCUCUAUAAGGGGCAACCCCUUUUUAAGAUAGACUGUUCGUCUAUUAAAAGUUUACA